GAUGAACGCUGGCGGCGUGCCUAAUACAUGCAAGUCGAGCGAACGGACGAGAAGCUUGCUUCUCUGAUGUUAGCGGCGGACGGGUGAGUAACACGUGGAUAACCUACCUAUAAGACUGGGAUAACUUCGGGAAACCGUAGCUAAUACCGGAUAAUAUUGUGAACCGCAUGGUUCAAAAGUGAAAGACGGUCUUGCUGUCACUUAUAGAUGGAUCCGCGCUGCAUUAGCUAGUUGGUAAGGUAACGGCUUACCAAGGCAACGAUGCAUAGCCGACCUGAGAGGGUGAUCGGCCACACUGGAACUGAGACACGGUCCAGACUCCUACGGGAGGCAGCAGUAGGGAAUCUUCCGCAAUGGGCUAAAGCCUGACGGAGCAACGCCGCGUGAGUGAUGAAGGUCUUCGGAUCGUAAAACUCUGUUAUUAGGGAAGAACAUAUGUGUAAGUAACUGUGCACAUCUUGACGGUACCUAAUCAGAAAGCCACGGCUAACUACGUG
Molecule: ribosomal RNA, 497 nt
Filed under: uncultured bacterium
Lineage: Bacteria
Description: partial 16S ribosomal RNA
Rfam family: Bacterial small subunit ribosomal RNA
Source: RNAcentral